GUCUGGUGGGUAGUUUGACUGGGGCGGUCUCCUCCUAAAGAGUAACGGAGGAGCACGAAGGUUGGCUAAUCCUGGUCGGACAUCAGGAGGUUAGUGCAAUGGCAUAAGCCAGCUUGACUGCGAGCGUGACGGCGCGAGCAGGUGCGAAAGCAGGUCAUAGUGAUCCGGUGGUUCUGAAUGGAAGGGCCAUCGCUCAACGGAUAAAAGGUACUCCGGGGAUAACAGGCUGAUACCGCCCAAGAGUUCAUAUCGACGGCGGUGUUUGGCACCUCGAUGUCGGCUCAUCACAUCCUGGGGCUGAAGUAGGUCCCAAGGGUAUGGCUGUUCGCCAUUUAAAGUGGUACGCGAGCUGGGUUUAGAACGUCGUGAGACAGUUCGGUCCCUAUCUGCCGUGGGCGCUGGAGAACUGAGGGGGGCUGCUCCUAGUACGAGAGGACCGGAGUGGACGCAUCACUGGUGUUCGGGUUGUCAUGCCAAUGGCACUGCCCGGUAGCUAAAUGCGGAAGAGAUAAGUGCUGAAAGCAUCUAAGCACGAAACUUGCCCCGAGAUGAGUUCUCCCUGACCCUUUAAGGGUCCUGAAGGAACGUUGAAGACGACGACGUUGAUAGGCCGGGUGUGUAAGCGCAGCGAUGCGUUGAGCUAACCGGUACUAAUGAACCGUGAGGCUUAACCUUACAACGCCGAAG
This 687-nucleotide ribosomal RNA is filed under the name Shigella flexneri. RNAcentral describes it as "partial 23S ribosomal RNA". It matches the Rfam family "Bacterial large subunit ribosomal RNA", at positions 2256 to 2925 of the family's 2925-position model. Lineage: Bacteria; Pseudomonadati; Pseudomonadota; Gammaproteobacteria; Enterobacterales; Enterobacteriaceae. The record is from RNAcentral.